This 450-nucleotide ribosomal RNA is filed under the name uncultured bacterium. RNAcentral's name for it is "bacterial SSU rRNA". It matches the Rfam family "Bacterial small subunit ribosomal RNA", at positions 354 to 796 of the family's 1533-position model. The record is from RNAcentral.
GUGGGGAAUAUUGGACAAUGGGGGAAACCCUGAUCCAGCGACGCCGCGUGUGUGAAGAAGGCCUGCGGGUUGUAAAGCACUUUUAGUGGGGAUGAAAAGCUCAGGGCUAAUACCUCUGGGUCUUGACCUAACCCACAGAAAAAGCACCGGCUAACUCUGUGCCAGCAGCCGCGGUAAUACAGAGGGUGCAAGCGUUAAUCGGAAUUACUGGGCGUAAAGCGUGCGUAGACGGUUAUAUAAGUCGGGUGUGAAAGCCCCGGGCUCAACCUGGGAAUUGCAUUCGAGACUGCAUAGCUAGGGUACGGAAGAGGGAAGCGGAAUUUCAGGUGUAGCGGUGAAAUGCGUAGAUAUCUGAAGGAACACCAGUGGCGAAAGCGGCUUCCUGGUCCAGUACCGACGUUCAGGCACGAAAGCGUGGGGAGCAAACAGGAUUAGAAACCCGAGUAGUCC